Molecule: ribosomal RNA, 491 nt
Filed under: uncultured bacterium
Lineage: Bacteria
Description: partial 16S ribosomal RNA
Rfam family: Bacterial small subunit ribosomal RNA
Source: RNAcentral
GUGAACGCUGGCGGUAGGCCUAACACAUGCAAGUCGAACGGCAGCACAGUAAGAGCUUGCUCUUACGGGUGGCGAGUGGCGGACGGGUGAGGAAUACAUUGGAAUCUACUUUUUCGUGGGGGAUAACGUAGGGAAACUUACGCUAAUACCGCAUACGACCUACGGGUGAAAGCAGGGGAUCUUCGGACCUUGCGCGAUUGAAUGAGCCGAUGUCGGAUUAGCUAGUUGGCGGGGUAAAGGCCCACCAAGGCGACGAUCCGUAGCUGGUCUGAGAGGAUGAUCAGCCACACUGGAACUGAGACACGGUCCAGACUCCUACGGGAGGCAGCAGUGGGGAAUAUUGGACAAUGGGCGCAAGCCUGAUCCAGCCAUACCGCGUGGGUGAAGAAGGCCUUCGGGUUGUAAAGCCCUUUUGUUGGGAAAGAAAAGCAGCAGGUUAAUACCCCGCUGUUCUGACGGUACCCAAAGAAUAAGCACCGGCUAACUUCGUG